This 426-nucleotide ribosomal RNA is filed under the name uncultured Chamaesiphon sp. RNAcentral's name for it is "bacterial SSU rRNA". It matches the Rfam family "Bacterial small subunit ribosomal RNA", at positions 355 to 795 of the family's 1533-position model. The record is from RNAcentral. Lineage: Bacteria; Bacillati; Cyanobacteriota; Cyanophyceae; Gomontiellales; Chamaesiphonaceae.
UGGGGAAUUUUCCGCAAUGGGCGCAAGCCUGACGGAGCAAUACCGCGUGAGGGAGGAAGGCUCUUGGGUCGUAAACCUCUUUUCUCAGGGAAGAACACAAUGACGGUACCUGAGGAAUAAGCAUCGGCUAACUCCGUGCCAGCAGCCGCGGUAAUACGGAGGAUGCAAGCGUUAUCCGGAAUGAUUGGGCGUAAAGCGUCCGUAGGUGGUUUUGUAAGUCUGUGGUUAAAGCGCGGAGCUCAACUCCAUAAGGGCCAUGGAAACUACAAGACUAGAGUGAAGUAGGGGUAGAGGGAAUUCCCAGUGUAGCGGUGAAAUGCGUAGAAAUUGGGAAGAACACCGGUGGCGAAAGCGCUCUACUGGACUUAAACUGACACUGAGGGACGAAAGCUAGGGGAGCGAAAGGGAUUAGAUACCCCUGUAGUC